CGAUUAGGUGAAAUUCCCUUAUACUCUAGCGUCAAAUUCAUGCAUGCGAACUAAGUAUGCAUCCUUAAUUAACAUACAUAAACAUGUUAUCAAUCAAAUAGAUAAGUAAACCACAUUCACGAUUCAUGAAAUCAUAACUGGAGGAAAUCAAGUCAUAUAAAACAUAUGAUCAUGGCUUUGAAUUCCCCUCUAACUUAUAAAGAAAUUAGUUCCUCAUGUUCGCAAAUAAACAAAGAUAAAUAAAUCUAAACAUUGACAUAAAGAUAGAAAACACCUAGAAACGCUCCAACAAUCCAAGCUCCUUGAAUGGCAUGCACGGCUCCAAGAGUCUCCUUCCUUCUCUUUUGCAAAUUCACGGCACACAAGGGAUGAUUGGGUGAAUGAUGUAGUGAAAAUCUGGGUGGUGAAUGAAUGGUGCGGCAUAAGGUGGUAUUUAUAGGCUGAAAAUCCCAACUCCUAGGUAGCAAAGGACAAGGUUUUAAAGGUCUAAUCUGCAUAGGACAAUAACAUACAAUCCUAUAAGGAAAACAAGUCAGAAAUCCAAAAAGGAAUGGGAGAUAAGGUGCGGCACAAAGGGUUGUUUCUAGAAAGAAAUACAAGGCAAAUUUUUAGGCUUCUAGAAAGGUUCUAGGCGCCAUCUUUGUAGGAGAAGAUUAGGUCUUCUAGAAAUCUGAUUUUAAGCCUCCUAAUCUAGUUAGAAACCCUCCCUUGCAGCUGAAAUAUGGGUAGUUUAGGAUUAGGAUAAGAUAGGAUAGGAUAAAGUUUGUUUGGAUAAGAUAAGCUAAGAUAAGGUUAUGGAUGAGGUUUUGGAUAAGAUUCCUUCACUUGAGCUGAUUCUUUGGCUUUAACUCUUCUUCUUCACGUAGGAAUACUUGCUUGAGUAGGAAACUUCAUACGUCUAGGAAUCCAUCUUCAAUUAGGACUCCUACAUUGAUUAGGAAUCCUUCUUCAUUUAGGAAUCCUACAUUUAAGCCCUUUCCUACUUCAACUAGGAAACUUUGUAUCUUCAAUUCUUCAACUUCAAAAAGACAUUCCUAGCUUCUUCAAUCCCUCAAAUUCGUCCAUCCUUUGUGCUUCACAUGCAUGAACUUCAUUCUAGCCCAGUUUUGCUCCAAAAUGCUCCAAAUUGCAUCCUUUUGCUUACUUUGUCCUUAAAACCUGAAAACACAUGAAAAUAGCUUAAAAGACUAACUUAACUAAGAAAACACAACAUAAAUGCAUAAGAACUAACUAACUAAGGCGCAUAAAUAUGCUCCUAUCAUGCGACGAGUGAAAUAUUGUAAUUAUAAAGUUUACAUAAACAUAGACAUCUAUGUUUACGUAAACUUUAUAAUUACAAACAAAUAUUCUGAAAAUAUUUAAUACCUUAAAUAUUUUUUCUAUAAAUAAUUAAUACUUUAAAUAUUAUUCUAUAAAUAAUUAAUACUUUAAAUAUUUAUUCUAUAAAUAAUUAAUGCCUUAAUCCAUACAAUUAUGUUUAGCAUAAGUACGAUAUUCAUUGAAGAUUGAAAACACAUAUAAACCGAGGAUAAGCUUCUUACAUUAGGUCUCAAUAAAAAAAUCCAACAAGAAUUGAAACCUAAUUAGGUCCAAAUACAUAGCUUAUAAAAAAAAUUAAAAAAAAAACCUUUAAUUUAAAUAUUGUCAUACAAAACAUAAAUUUAAAACUACUAUUUGGAUGGUCCUGGUCCAUUCCGCAAGACUUCAUAACGCCACCGAUUGUAACCUCCCUCCAACGCAGCAUCCAUCAACUUCAUCGAUUGUUCGUUCAUCAUCAUCAAAAGUAUACUUACACUGUUACACAUAUAUGCAAAUAAUUAAUUCCAACAAAUAACUAAAAAUUUCACAAACAUAAUUAUUGAUCCAUCAACAAUAUAGUUACUAAUAGUUCAUCCAUCACAACCUUCUUCACAUUCCCAGGCACAUCUUCCCAAAAAUGCCACUUAACAGUGGGAGAAUUAUUCCCCAUGGCUACAGCAAUCACAUGCUCAAACUCAAAAUGAUCCCUCAAAUCAUGCGGGUUGGCAUCACUCACACUCUCAUCCUUAUUUUUAUCCGCCAACCCAGCAUGAAAGGAGAACAGAAUUGUGAAGAAAAAUGACAGCAGAAGCGCAUAUUUAUAGGAAAGUUUGGAUCUUUGAGCGACGAAGGCUUUGUCACACAAACAUCUGUAUUAAAUGCUGUAUUGAUUCCUCUGAUUCACAUGCAGUAAAUGGUCAAAACUGACAGGAACUUGCGCGACGAAUAAUUGGUUGUGCAAAGGCCCCCUUUUCGUCGCGCAAGUUUUUCGUGCCAAAAAAAUUUACCUUGUGUUUUCUUUCUAACUUUACGCGACAACGAUGGUUUGUUGUUGCGCUUAGUAUUCUUGAGAG
Molecule: long non-coding RNA, 2372 nt
Filed under: Malus domestica (apple)
Lineage: Eukaryota; Viridiplantae; Streptophyta; Magnoliopsida; Rosales; Rosaceae
Description: long non-coding RNA (MDOM_LNC011937)
Source: RNAcentral